UCAUCAUGAGUUAUCUGCUUAUAUAGUAUUUUUGUUGAUUAACUGUACAUAUAACAUCCUUACUAUCACUUAGAGGCAUACUAGAUGUGAACAAAUUGAUCGGACCUAACUACUUGAACUGGUUAAGAAACUUAAGAAUUAUUCUCACUCAGGAGAAAGUCUCCUAUAUACUGAAUACACCUGCACCUGAUAUGAUCAGAAAAAAGGCAUCUG
Molecule: long non-coding RNA, 213 nt
Filed under: Elaeis guineensis (African oil palm)
Lineage: Eukaryota; Viridiplantae; Streptophyta; Magnoliopsida; Arecales; Arecaceae
Description: long non-coding RNA (EGUI_LNC063824)
Source: RNAcentral